AGACGUUCAGUUCGUUUCCCCUACAAAGGAAGAGGAGACCGGAGACGGGACGUUUGCUUUGUUGGCCGAACUCUUCGGCUGCUGGGGAUUUCCUUCAAACGCCAUUAACUUCUCACACUCAGCAGCCACUCGGGAGUUGGGAAACAAUCUCCUGGGGUUUGUGCUGGCGUGAUUAAGGAAAGAGGCCACUUACAGGCCUUUGUCUAAAGCCUCGCGCCGGUGGUGGCUGGGGUCAGGAAAGCUGGGAGGUUCAACUACGGGCGAGAAAAUUGGGGCACUUUCCACGUCUCUCCCGAAAAUAAAAGAAAGGAUGCCGGGCACGGCGGCUCACGCCUGUAAUCCCAGCACUUUGGGAGGCCGAGGCGGGCGGAUCACCUGAGGUCAGGAAUUCGACACCAGCCUGGGCAACACGGUUCUGAAGCAACACUGUAACUGCUGAAUGCUUCUGGCUGCUUCUUUCCACAGUAAAAGAUGAAAAGAAAUAUCUUUUAUUGAGAUAGACUGAGGUCCAGGAAAAACAAGUGCAACUUCAUGGUCCUUUUCUUCAUAUUCUGGAAUACAAGAAAACGUGUAAAUGUUUGCAAAUUCAGGUGCUAA
This 597-nucleotide long non-coding RNA is filed under the name Homo sapiens (human). RNAcentral's name for it is "HSALNT0061219". Lineage: Eukaryota; Metazoa; Chordata; Mammalia; Primates; Hominidae. The record is from RNAcentral.